UUUGAUUUUCUUCGGAAAUGAAGAUUUUGUGACUGAGUGGCGGACGGGUGAGUAACGCGUGGGUAACCUGCCUCAUACAGGGGGAUAACAGUUGGAAACGACUGCUAAUACCGCAUAAGCGCACGGUUCCGCAUGGAACAGUGUGAAAAACUCCGGUGGUACAGGAUGGAUUCGCGUCUGAUUAGCCAGUUGGUGGGGUAACGGCCUACCAAAGCAACGAUCAGUAGCCGGACUGAGAGGUUGAACGGCCACAUUGGGACUGAGACACGGCCCAGACUCC
This 280-nucleotide ribosomal RNA is filed under the name uncultured Eubacteriales bacterium. RNAcentral describes it as "uncultured Clostridiales bacterium partial 16S ribosomal RNA". It matches the Rfam family "Bacterial small subunit ribosomal RNA", at positions 67 to 339 of the family's 1533-position model. Lineage: Bacteria; Bacillati; Bacillota; Clostridia; Eubacteriales. The record is from RNAcentral.